AGUGCGAAAGCUAACUUUGCUUCAAAAAUGUAUUCUUUUGCAAAUUAGUUUUUAACUGCAAAUAAAUACUGGUUCAGAAUAAGAAGUUUGAAAGAAUAAAUAAACUUCUAGACAAUAAAUUCCGUGAGGAUAGGGCCUGCACCACAUUCAUCUUUGAGCCCUCACUACUGCGCACCAAUCUUGACAAUAAUAAAUUACCUAGAAGUAUUGCUUUUCCUUUCAUGAAUGAAGAAACAUGAUCCUUUGAGUGGGAGAGAAAAAUCAUAUUGCUUAUUUUCAUUAGUAUAGAGACCAGAAAUUUUAAUUGGCUAACGUUUUCAUAUUCAUAGUUCAUGGAUUAUUUUGAUGUAGAUACAGUCAGGAAAAACAGUCAACCAAAUUAAAAUAAAAUGUUUUAACUGGAUUGCAUUAUAAUAUUUAUUUAUAGCCUAUCUAGUCCUAUAAGGAAAUCACAAAUAUGACAAAAUAAGACAUAUAAAACAAAAACCAGAAAAGAAAAUUACAUUAAGAAAACUUCUUGGAGAGAAGUCAUAGCAAUUCAGCAUGACACUUAGCUCUAAGUCUCCUGUUACCCAAUGCUGGGAGGAAAACACGAGAGGGUACCUCCCUCCUCGUUGCCUGGUAGAAGGAAGCAUCUAAGUUCAUCCAGAGAGAGAACACUUGUCCCAUCCCGAGGUUCGAGGUAAUUUAUCCUAUGCCUUUGUGAAGAAGACACUAAGAAAAAUAGGGACAAGAAACUUCAUGUCAAUUUUAUAAAUAGAGAUGAAAAGACAAAUACACAUGAAGCCUUUUUUUUUUUUUUUCCAGUCGUGGGUGAGAGAUGAGGACAGAAUGUUGUGUUUCCAUGAGAGCUAUCCCUGAGGGUUCUGACAUAAUCGAGUCCAAAAACUACCUUAGAAGAUGGGUAGAAGCGGUAACAGUGCCAGGAAACAGAGAAGCCAACAAAUAAUACUUUUCUCACAGAGAGUUCAUUUGUAAAAAGCCUGAUUGGGGAAAGGGGAUAAUCUUUGAAUAGAGUUUAAAUUUUGAUUGUUAUUUGACAUG
This 1044-nucleotide long non-coding RNA is filed under the name Canis lupus familiaris (dog). RNAcentral's name for it is "lncRNA (ENSCAFG00845028615.1)". The record is from RNAcentral. Lineage: Eukaryota; Metazoa; Chordata; Mammalia; Carnivora; Canidae.